Long non-coding RNA from Gorilla gorilla gorilla (western lowland gorilla), 3555 nucleotides. RefSeq lists it as uncharacterized. The record is from RefSeq and is a predicted model, not a curated record. Lineage: Eukaryota; Metazoa; Chordata; Mammalia; Primates; Hominidae. The transcript has 3 exons.
GAAUGUGGAGGUCAUAUCAAUUUCUAGCUGUGUGACUUGGUGAGGCGCUUAAUCUUUUUGAGUCUUAGUUCCUCAAUAGUCCAUUGGAGAUGCUAAUACCUUCCUCCUAAGGCCACUGUGAGUAAACAAGACACCCUAUUUGCUGUGCCUGACUCAUACUACAUGGUAAAUAUUUAUUUAUUCAUUCCAUUCACCUGUCCCUCUGUUGAAAUUCACUUUUAAGAGCCUGGUGAGGCAAGGUUUGUUCAACGCGAGUGGUUAUAUGUGAGGCCCUGGGUGAGCCCUGCCUUGGAGAGCUGUUACUCAUCUUUUCCUUUUCUUUUCUUCUCUCUUUUUUUUCUUUUUUGAGACAGGGUCUCAUCUUGACACCUAGGCUGGAGUGCAGUGGCACAAUCACAGCUCACUGCAACCUCAACCUCCUAGGCUCAGUAGACCCUCCCACCUCAGCCUCCUGAGUUGCUGGGACUACAGGUGCGUGCCACCACACCCUGCUAACUUUUUGUGUGUGCCUGUAUUUUUUGUAGAGGUGGGGUUUCUCCUUGUUGCCCAGGCUGGUCUUGAACUCCUGGGCUCAAGUGAUUCACCCACCUUGGCCUCCCAAAGUGUUGGGAUUGCAGGCAUGAGCUACGGCGCCCGGCCUGAUACUCAUCUUUGCACAGUCUACACAACAGUAGUGGAUAACGGACAGAUGGAGACCACUCCUGGCAUGGAGGUUCUGAGCUUCAGUUCUCACCUGACCUGCUGGUUGGACAUGUGGCUCCAGUAACCCCUUCUGGGGGACAGACUCUGCUGGAGUCACACUGGAUGCCCCUUGGUGCCGAGCACAGGUAUCUGGCCCAGAGCACUGCUGGGCAACAGACCAAGGAGGACGGUGCUGGAGGACAUUUGGGUGUGGUAAGAGGCUAUCCCUUCCCCCCAAUUUGCCGCUCUAUACCGCCUCUGUCAGGGUUGUAGGACCCUUACCAGGCAGGGAGAGAUGGUGGUGGUUUUGUGGUCAUUCCCCUGUAAUUUGCUUCAUAUCAUCUUUGCAUGAUUUGUAACUGCCCAUCAGGUUCAUCUUGCCUGCUGUCUAGACAGAGCCAAUUUAUCAAGAUAGGGGAAUUGCAAUAGAGAAAGAGUUCAAUUCAUGUAGAGCCGGCUGUACGGGAGACUGGAGUUUUAUUAUUACUUAAAUCAGUCUCCCUGAGAAUUCAGGGAUCGGUGUUUUUAAGAAUAAUUUAGUGGGUAGGAGGCCAGUGAGUCAGGAGUGCUGAUUGGUUGGCUUGGGGAUGAAAUCAUAAGGAGUCAAAGCUGUCCUCUUAUGCUGAGGCGGUUCCUGGGUGGGGGCCGCAGAAGUGGUUGGCAGGUCCAGCUGGGGCCAUCAGGUUGCCAGACAUGCAAAAAACUGAAAAGUUAUCUCAAAAGGCCAAUGUUAGGUUCUACAACAGUGAUGUUAUCUUCAGGAGUAAUUGGAGAAGUUGUAAAUCUUAUGACCUCCAGAGCAAUAGCUGAUAAUAUUUAGAAUUCAAGCCCCUCUUAUCCUAACUUGGUGGCCUUUUAUUUGUUUUACAAGAGCAUGUUAGCUUUUGGGAAGAGCUGUUAUUUAAACUAUAAAUGUAUCCCAAAGUUAGCUUGGCCCAAGCCCAGGAAUGAGCAAAGAGAGCCAACCUGUGAGGCUUGAGACAAGAUGGAGUCAGCCCUGUCAGGUUUCUCUCACUGUCAUAAUUUCCUUAGUUAUGAUUUUUGCAAAGGCGGUUUCAGAUUUGCCUUUUACUAAAACACACAGGCUUGCACUUCAUCUUGAGUGAGUGUGUGUGCAUCUCUGGCUGGUCCUCCAGAGCUGGGUCCAGCAGGCCAAUCCCUGUGCCCCUCUGGAGUUUCUCCAAGGCCACCCUGGGCACUUCCAGUAGGAUAUUGUUGCUCCACAUCAGGGCUCCUGCCAGCAGCGUAGCUGUGCUCCACACAGAAGUCCCUCAGCUGGUGACCACAGAAUAAUGAAUGCCAAUCUGGAUGUUAGUUUUCACACAUUUGCAUACCCCAGGGGUCUGCCUGGCCUGUGAGGUCUUUCUGACUCUGAGCAGCUAUGAUGCUGUGAUUAACCUCACAAAUGCAUAAUGGAUCUUGAGGUCCUUUCCCGGCAGAGAUGUUGGGGAACUAAUGCAACCCCCUGCCUUUUCUCUUAAGCUGCCUUCAGGGCUGAUAUCAUGGGUUGGUCAACUGCCUGAGAUUUCUUCCUCUAUCUGGGGUUAGCAAGACACCUAAAAGGUAAUCCUCCCCACCUCUCCCCACCACCAUAGUGCUAUUAGUCAGCUACACCUGAGUGUGAAUUACUUUAGUCAGAUUUCUUUCCCAUUAAUAUCCUCAAGGGAAGGGGAUUUUAAUAGAAGUAGAGUGAGUGCCUAAAUUACUCACGGAGCCCUGGGCAGGUUCUGCCUUUCAGCAUGACUCAUCUUUUUGUGGUCUGCACAAACAGCCAAGUAUAAAGGAUAAGAAGGGAGCUGCCCCUGGCACCAGAAGCCCUUGUCUGGGCAGAUGGAAGUGUUAUGGGGAGGGAAGGCCCCAGAAGAAUUGGGGAGAGGGGUAUCCCUCAUGGACUUUGCUCUCACAUGGGGUGUAGUUGGCCAUUCAAUCACCUCUGGUCUGCUGCCUACUGCCCGUCUUGCUGUCUGGAUGUCUAAGACAACCCUAAGAUGCCUGGAUGUCAGAGCCUGUGGUGCAAACAUUUGGCUGCCAGCAAGGGUCACUGUUCUGGUUUUCAAGGCCAAAUCAGAGUGGGUUUUUCUGGGGUUUGGGAGCAGCUGAAGCUAGAAGCAGAAGCAACUGAGGCCCAGAGGAGCAAAGGCCCCCAAGCAAGGUCUCCAGCAGGCUGGCAGCACGGUGGAAAUGGAGCCCACUCCCCUGUCUUCCACUGCCUGUUUAAGAGAAGAGCAGCCGCGAGGUCCUGGGCUGGUCUCGGGGCCUUGACGCAAUAACAGCCCAGGAGCAGAGAGACCACCUAGUACCCAGAUCUUGAUUUCUAAAUGCUGUUACCCACCAGGAGGAACUAAAAUUUUCUGCAGAAAUGGCUGACUCCAGAUCCAUGGAAAUGAAGCUCCACGUUAAGCCUGGGAUGUCUUAUGGUCCCAAGAAGGAAGGAUAUGCUUAAAAACUACUGAGGUCACAUGGAAAGGACGCGGAAGCUGACUGAGGGAUCUGCCUCGCUAAGUUUUGGGACUACUGAGCAUCAAAAAGAAUGACUGUAAGGGGGCCGAGCUUGGUGGCUCAUGCCUGUAAUUCCAGCACUUUGGGAGGUCAAGAUGGGCGGAUCACGAGGUCAAGAGAUCGAGACCAUCCUGGCCAACGUGGUGAAACCCCGUCUCCACUAAAAAUGCAAAACUUAGCCGGACAUGGUGGUGGGCCCUGUAGUCCCAGCUACUUGGGGAGGCUGAGGCAGGAGAAUCGCUUGAACCUGUGAGAGGGAGUUUGCAGUGAGCUGAUAUAGCGCCACUGCACUCCAGCCUGGCGACAGAGUGAGACUCCAUCUGAAAACAAAACAAAACAAAACAAGAAUGACUGUAGUUAAUUAAAAUGCAUUAA